Non-coding RNA from Gossypium raimondii (Peruvian cotton), 349 nucleotides. Lineage: Eukaryota; Viridiplantae; Streptophyta; Magnoliopsida; Malvales; Malvaceae. The record is from Rfam.
GGUUUAAUUCGAUGCAAAGCGAAGAACCUUACUAGGGUUUGACAUGUCGCGAAUCCUCUUGAAAGAGAGGGGUGCCUUCAGGAACACGGACAUAGGUGGUGCACAGCUGUCGUCAGCUCGUGUCGUAAGGUGUUAGUUAAGUCCCACAACGAGCGUAACCCUCGUGUUUAGUUGUCACUGUUGAGUUUGGAACCUUGAGCAAACUGCUGGAUGAUAAGUUAGAGGAAGGUGAGGAUGACAUCAAGUCAUUAUGCACAAUAGAAGAGACAAAGGGUCACGAUCCCGCGAGGGUGAGCUAACUCCAAAAACCCGUCCUUAGUCUUGAUUGCUUAUAAUUAUUUUAUUAGAC